UACGUAGGGUGCAAGCGUUAAUCGGAAUUACUGGGCGUAAAGCGUGCGCAGGCGGUUUUGUAAGUCUGUCGUGAAAGCCCCGGGCUCAACCUGGGAAUUGCGAUGGAGACUGCAAGGCUUGAAUCUGGCAGAGGGGGGUAGAAUUCCACGUGUAGCAGUGAAAUGCGUAGAGAUGUGGAGGAACACCGAUGGCGAAGGCAGCCCCCUGGGUCAAGAUUGACGCUCAUGCACGAAAGCGUGGGUAGCGAACAGG
This 253-nucleotide ribosomal RNA is filed under the name uncultured bacterium. RNAcentral describes it as "partial 16S ribosomal RNA". It matches the Rfam family "Bacterial small subunit ribosomal RNA", at positions 524 to 776 of the family's 1533-position model. The record is from RNAcentral.